GAUGAACGCUAGCGGCAGGCCUAAUACAUGCAAGUCGAACGAGAUUAAGAGGCUUGCUUCUUAUGAAAGUGGCGCACGGGUGCGUAACGCGUAUGCAACCUACCUUAAUCAGGGGGAUAGCCCGAAGAAAUUCGGAUUAAGACCGCAUAAAAACACAGGAUAGCAUUAUCCAAUGUUCAAAUAUUUAUCGGAUUAAGAUGGGCAUGCGUGUCAUUAGCUAGUUGGCGGGGUAACGGCCCACCAAGGCGACGAUGACUAGGGGAUCUGAGAGGAUGACCCCCCACACUGGUACUGAGACACGGACCAGACUCCUACGGGAGGCAGCAGUAAGGAAUAUUGGUCAAUGGAGGGAACUCUGAACCAGCCAUGCCGCGUGCAGGAAGACAGCCCUCUGGGUCGUAAACUGCUUUUAUUCGGGAAUAAACCUUUCUACGUGUAGGAAGCUGAAUGUACCGAAGGAAUAAGGAUCGGCUAACUCCGUG
This 482-nucleotide ribosomal RNA is filed under the name uncultured bacterium. Its description in RNAcentral is "partial 16S ribosomal RNA". It matches the Rfam family "Bacterial small subunit ribosomal RNA", at positions 28 to 507 of the family's 1533-position model. The record is from RNAcentral.